UACGGAGGGGCAAGCGUUGUUCGGAUUUACUGGGCGUAAAGGGCGCGUAGGCGGAUGUUCGCGUCAGAGGUGAAAGCCCCGGGCUCAACCUGGGAACUGCCUUUGAAACGGGACAUCUUGAGUUCGGAAGAGGGUAGCGGAAUUCCCAGUGUAGAGGUGAAAUUCGUAGAUAUUGGGAAGAACACCAGUAGCGAAGGCGGCUACCUGGUCCGACACUGACGCUGAGGCGCGAAAGCGUGGGGAGCAAACAGGAUUAGAUACCCUGGUAGUCCCUGAGCGGGCU
This 283-nucleotide ribosomal RNA is filed under the name uncultured prokaryote. RNAcentral's name for it is "partial 16S ribosomal RNA". It matches the Rfam family "Bacterial small subunit ribosomal RNA", at positions 524 to 817 of the family's 1533-position model. The record is from RNAcentral.